UACAGAGGGUGCAAGCGUUAACCGGAAUUACUGGGCGUAAAGCGCGCGUAGGUGGUUUGUUAAGUUGGAUGUGAAAUCCCCGGGCUCAACCUGGGAACUGCAUCCAAAACUGGCAAGUAGAGUAGGGCAGAGGGUGGUGGAAUUUCCUGUGUAGCGGUGAAAUGCGUAGAUAUAGGAAGGAACACCAGUGGCGAAGGCGACCACCUGGGCUCAUACUGACACUGAGGUGCGAAAGCGUGGUGAGCCAAACAGGAUUAGAUAC
This 262-nucleotide ribosomal RNA is filed under the name uncultured Pseudomonadales bacterium. RNAcentral's name for it is "partial 16S ribosomal RNA". It matches the Rfam family "Bacterial small subunit ribosomal RNA", at positions 524 to 785 of the family's 1533-position model. Lineage: Bacteria; Pseudomonadati; Pseudomonadota; Gammaproteobacteria; Pseudomonadales. The record is from RNAcentral.